RNAcentral lists this long non-coding RNA (2476 nucleotides) under Dendronephthya gigantea. Its description in RNAcentral is "uncharacterized LOC114528218". Lineage: Eukaryota; Metazoa; Cnidaria; Anthozoa; Malacalcyonacea; Nephtheidae. The record is from RNAcentral.
CACACGCAGAUGUCAUAUUAUUAUUAAGACAGUUGUCAUUCACACAGGCUAAGAGUAUAUUUACUGUAAUAUUCAUUGGCUGGCAGGCUGGUCUAGAUGCGUUUUGACUGAAUUUUUACUAUAAACGUUGACAUGUUUAAAAAGUUAUCUACGCCGACAGGACAAGCAACAUUGAACUGGUCGGUCUUAGCCUUAGUAGAAGUUGCCAGUGAAUGCACAGAAGACGAACUUCACGAAGACGAAAAAUUUUUCAAAGAAAAUUGUUCAAGUGCUUCAAGUUUAAAGAAAGUUGUGUCAAACGCACUGUCCCUUGUGUUGUGUGCAUUAAAAGGCAUACACUUUGCUAGUCAGAGAGGAGUAUUCCUAGGCUUCAACUGAAUUAGGACACUGAGUCAUUUUCCUUGAGUUGGAAUAAUGAAUAUCGUUUUGUAGGAACAUUAAUCGAAUUCAUAUUAGAGACGGGAAACUCGUCUGAUGCAUGUGAAUCUGGUCACAGACGGGUUUCUGGGCGUCCGAACUUUCCAGUCUAACUUUUCCCGCUAAACAGACGGGUAAGUUGGACGGGAAUCUCGUCUGGCCGAGACGGAUAAAUCAGACGAGUUUCAGAAAUAUCAACACGGUCACGGAAGGUACAAGGCUAAGAAAAAACAAACAAAAUUUUUAUUGUAAUAAUUAAUUACGAUACACUUUUUAGCAUCACCCGAACCAUCACAUCUAAAAAUUUAACCACUCCUAUUCAUAUUUAGACGGGUCAAUUUUGACCAUCAUAUUUAGACCAUCAACUUUCCCGUUGAGUUUGAUGAGUUUCCCGUCUCUAAUAUGAAUUCGGCUAUUGACAGCCACAUUGUCACAUUGCAUUUGACGCAGCAAAAGAUUGUAAGCGAUUUUUGGAAUAAAUUAUUGGAAUCUAUUAGAAAUAUAAAAUCUAUUCUUAUCUGCACUGCCAUUGGGCGCACCAAUACAUAUUCGACCUUCACUUGUUAUUUUUUAAUUUCUUGUCGAUGCAUUAUGUCUUAGGGCCUGUUUACAUGGAGCGCGUUAUCCCAGCUAGGCGAGUUUUGAAGUAGAACGCGCUGUUAAAAUUGCUAGUUAUUGUUUUAGGGUCUGUUUACAUGCAGCAAGGCUUAACCUGAUCAGUCUUUUAUUAUUUGCAGGCGUUUUGCCGUUUUCACCUCGCCUAACCGGGAUAACUCGCUCCAUGUAAACAGAUCCUAAACCUUAACCUAGCCCUAGGCCAUAAUGGCCUAGCACUUAGCACUAAGCUAAAUGCAAAGACUUCUUAAAACGACUCAUUAAAAGUUUAAAUUUUUUAAAGCACACGAAUUGGUGCCAUUGGAAAUUUGAGGACAGUUGAGGCACAGAAUACCUAUCAGAAGGACAUCUCCAUUGUUUUUUGCGGGCUGUUGGCAGGGGGGUUUCUUCCCGUGAUUCAUCACUCAGCAAGUACCGUUAAUGGAAGUAAUCACCCCCCUGCCCAUAUUGAAAAUGGGCUGUUGGCAGAGGGGUGAUUGUCUCCAUUUACGGUACUUGCUGAGUGAUGAAUCCAGAUAGGUAUUUUCUGGUUGAGGUAGCCUCGUAGAUAAUUGUUCAUAUUGGGUUUAAAAUAUUCAAAGUUCACAAUAAUUGAUUACACUGCGUUAAACUUCGCAUUUUUCGGCGUCGCAUCGAAUGCAAUUCAAACAAUAGAUAAUGAGAUGAUAAUGAAGCUUAAUGAGGUCGAUCAUCUCAUUAUCUAUUGUUUGAAUUGCAUUCGACGCGACUAAAAUGCAACGUCUAACACAGCCCUCAGAGUCGCGACGCUAUAUCUAUUUUAUCCUUGAUGAAAAUACAAUUAUUAAAACAAUGGAAGUGGUUUAGGAACAAUAGCGUGCGUGCUUAUAGUUGUUAUAUCGGAUUGGCUGAAAAUAGUUUUAUCACCCAAGCACUAAAAAAUUGUAAACGUGAUUUGGAUAUGAAAGCAGAGUUGCCAGGUUACUGUAUAAAUUAGCCAAAUAUUAUUACCAUAAUCGUUGUUUUCAUUGUUUGAAACAAAGAAAUCAGAGGGCCGACUAUAACAAUGUUUGGCUUCUUUUUUAGCAAUCUGGCAAUCCUGUAUGAAAGUUGUAGUUAAUAUAUGACAGCUGCCAGAUGCAUUGUCACUCUUCAUACAUGGGUAUCUGAAAGUUAAAGAUGAAAGUCAAAUUAAUAAAGAUUUUGUCGUUAUUGAAAAACUUCAGGAUUAGAAAACGAAGUGGAGAAAUUUCCGAAGAAAUUGAAAUGCAAUAUCUUCACGAAAAAUGGAAUACGAGUAAAGAUCUACUGUCAAAUAAAGAACGGAAAACAUUCGGCAAAAAACAUAAGAAGAAAGCGAGAAAAUAUUUCAUUUUUAAUCCUGCUAUCGGGAUUUUUUCAUUACCAUCUCUGAUACAUAAAAACACACUGAACCAAAACUUACCACUAAUCAGAAAGCGCUCGAUUUGAUUGAAAAUGUAACUAA